Molecule: non-coding RNA, 23 nt
Filed under: Cricetulus griseus (Chinese hamster)
Lineage: Eukaryota; Metazoa; Chordata; Mammalia; Rodentia; Cricetidae
Source: RNAcentral
UUCACAGUGUUGGAACCAUAGAC